Molecule: long non-coding RNA, 234 nt
Organism: Mastomys coucha (southern multimammate mouse)
Lineage: Eukaryota; Metazoa; Chordata; Mammalia; Rodentia; Muridae
Exons: 2
Source: RefSeq, a predicted model, not a curated record
UGCAUAUAUUCAAAAUCUCUCAGUCCUCCCCAGAAAGGCUUCUUUCUACGGUUCAUGGUGAUUAAUAAUACAGAGAUCCACACCUGCUCAAUGUGCAGAGGACAAUGCAGUAAUGUCCAUCAUUUAUAUACCAAUCCUGAGGACAGCCCAUCAUCACCAAUCCCGAGGCUUUAAGACUUCUGUCUCAUGCUUCUCCCUGAAGAUAUGAAUUAUUAAAUAAAAAUCUCAGUGCCA